This 253-nucleotide ribosomal RNA is filed under the name uncultured bacterium. RNAcentral's name for it is "partial 16S ribosomal RNA". It matches the Rfam family "Bacterial small subunit ribosomal RNA", at positions 524 to 776 of the family's 1533-position model. The record is from RNAcentral.
UACGUAGGUGGCAAGCGUUGUCCGGAUUUACUGGGCGUAAAGAGCGCGUAGGCGGUCGUUCAAGUCGCGUGUGAAAGCCCCCGGCUCAACUGGGGAGGGUCACGCGAUACUGAUCGACUCGAAGGCAGGAGAGGGAAGUGGAAUUCCCGGUGUAGUGGUGAAAUGCGUAGAUAUCGGGAGGAACACCAGUGGCGAAGGCGACUUCCUGGCCUGUUCUUGACGCUGAGGCGCGAAAGCCAGGGGAGCGAACGGG